CCUACGGGGGGCUGCAGUGAGGAAUAUUGGUCAAUGGGCGCGAGCCUGAACCAGCCAAGUCGCGUGAGGGAAGACGGUCCUAUGGAUUGUAAACCUCUUUUGUCGGGGAGCAAAAGACGCCACGCGUGGCGUUCCGAGAGUACCCUAAGAAAAAGCAUCGGCAAAACCCGGGCCAGCAGCCGCGGUAAUACGGGGGAUGCGAGCGUUAUCCGGAUUUAUUGGGUUUAAGGGGUGCGCAGGGGGAAGAUCAAGUCAGCGGGAAUAUUGAGAGGCCAAACCUCUUCGAGCCGUUGAAACUGGUUUUCUUGAGGGAGCGAGAGGUAGGUGGAAUGCGUGGUGUAGCGGUGAAAUGCAUAGAGAUCACGAAGAACUCCGAUUGCGAAGGCAGCAUACCGGAGCUAAACUGACGCUCAUGCACGAAAGUGUGGGUAUCGAACAGGAUUAGAUACCCGAGUAGUC
Molecule: ribosomal RNA, 459 nt
Filed under: uncultured bacterium
Lineage: Bacteria
Description: partial 16S ribosomal RNA
Rfam family: Bacterial small subunit ribosomal RNA
Source: RNAcentral